AUUGAACGCUAGCGGGAUGCCUUACACAUGCAAGUCGAACGGCAGCGCGGACUUCGGUCUGGCGGCGAGUGGCGAACGGGUGAGUAAUGUAUCGGAACGUGCCUAGUAGCGGGGGGAUAACUACUCGAAAGAGUGGCUAAUACCGCAUACGCCCUACGGGGGAAAGGGGGGGAUCGCAAGACCUCUCACUAUUAGCCCGCGUUGGAUUAGGUAGUUGGUGGGGUAAUGGCCUACCAAGCCGACGAUCCAUAGCUGGUUUGAGAGGAUGAUCAGCCACACUGGGACUGAGACACGGCCCAGACUCCUACGGGAGGCAGCAGUGGGGAAUCUUAGACAAUGGGGGAAACCCUGAUCUAGCCAUGCCGCGUGAGCGAUGAAGGCCUUAGGGUUGUAAAGCUCUUUCAGCGGGGAAGAUAAUGACUGUACCCGCAGAAGAAGCCCCGGCUAACUCCGUG
Molecule: ribosomal RNA, 455 nt
Filed under: uncultured bacterium
Lineage: Bacteria
Description: bacterial SSU rRNA
Rfam family: Bacterial small subunit ribosomal RNA
Source: RNAcentral